AGUAACGGCGAGUGAAGCGGCAACAGCUCAAAUUUGAAAUCUGGCCCCCGGGUCCGAGUUGUAAUUUGCAGAGGAUGCUUUUGGUGAAGUGCCUUCCGAGUCCCUUGGAACAGGGCGCCAUAGAGGGUGAGAGCCCCGUCUGGUCGUGCACUGAGCCUCUGUAAAGCUCCUUCGACGAGUCGAGUAGUUUGGGAAUGCUGCUCUAAAUGGGAGGUGUAUGUCUUCUAAAGCUAAAUACCGGCCAGAGACCGAUAGCGCACAAGUAGAGUGAUCGAAAGAUGAAAAGUACUCUGAAGAGAGAGUUAAAUAGCACGUGAAAUUGUUAAAGGGGAAGCGUUUAUGACCAGACUUGAGGCCGGCCGAUCAUCCAGCGUUCUCGCUGGUGCACUCGGCCGGUUUUAGGCCAGCAUCGGUUCGCGCCGGGGGAGAAAGGCUUCGGGAACGUAGCUCCUUCGGGAGUGUUAUAGACCGUUGCGUAAUACCCUGGGGCGGACCGAGGAACGCGCUUCGGCACGGAUGCUGGCGUAAUGGUCACCAACGACCCGUCUUGAAACACGGACCAAGGAGUCGUCCUCGUAUGCGAGUGUUCGGGUGUCAAACCCCUACGCGGAAUGAAAGUGAACGUAGGUGAGAGCUUCGGCGCAUCACCGACCGAUCCUGAUGUUCU
RNAcentral lists this ribosomal RNA (667 nucleotides) under Chlamydocillium cyanophilum. RNAcentral's name for it is "LSU rRNA". It matches the Rfam family "Eukaryotic large subunit ribosomal RNA", at positions 82 to 780 of the family's 3401-position model. Lineage: Eukaryota; Fungi; Ascomycota; Sordariomycetes; Hypocreales. The record is from RNAcentral.